RNAcentral lists this long non-coding RNA (2385 nucleotides) under Homo sapiens (human). RNAcentral describes it as "HSALNT0298296". Lineage: Eukaryota; Metazoa; Chordata; Mammalia; Primates; Hominidae. The record is from RNAcentral.
AGGCACGCGCGGGAGCACGCCCGGGAGCGCGCAUGCGCAGCGCUGCUGGCCCGCUCUCUGAGGAGCUUUCAAUACUUUGGGGUCAAGUUUGAGGCAGUUGUAACUGUACUGAGUUUAGUUUUGCUAAUAAUGGUAUUCUACGUGUGUCAGCCUCGUGUGGACUUCUGUAAUGACUAAUGGAUAUGUUUAUAUCCUGAGCAUUUGCUGUAGGAAUUUUAAAUGCAAUCCCAAAACUCAAGAUUACCUUAUUUGGAGAAAUAUUCGUGUUACUAUGUUUAAAAUUUAAUAGAACCAUAUUUUACCUUUCACUUUGGGACUCGCACAGGAUGUUUGCAGCUCUUGAUAUACAGGAACUAGAACGUGUCUUUUAAGAGCAUGCGGUUUUAUAAUUACGUGGAAGUAUGCUACGCAAGGGAAAAAAGCCUCUUGCUAAUGCUUUGAUGUCUUAAAUGGUACAUCCAAACUUAAGUGAAAUAGAGCUGUGAGGACAUUUUGGGGAGAAGUGACCUAGAUAAGCACUGACUGUUGCAUUCAUCUCUCUUCUUGCUGAUUGUGAUGAUUUCCUGUGCCAUAGCCAUUCAAAGUCUGCCAAAAAAGCUAGCAUGUAAUUUUCUUUCUCUACUUCUCUACAUUUGGAGGAUGGAAAUGUAGAUGUUCUUCCAUUGUGCCAGCCUCCUCAUUCUUCUUUCUCCAAUGCCGCAUCUUCCUGCAAACUUCCUGCCACAACUCAAACAACAGGAAAAUAAAUGAUCUGAAAUCCUCCUGAACUGCAGCCUACCUAUCGUGGUCUCUAUGGGUGCAAACUUCCUUCCAGAAGCUUGUUCAGCUGGCUAAAACAGGACAUUUGCCAAUGCAGCCAAAAGUUGGGUCUUAUACUGGCUACCUCCUAUGCAGAGUGAAAAACUUUUCUUUCUCCCACAGCCACAGACAUCGCUCCUCUUCCAGCUCAACAUCUUUCAAAGGGAUGGCUCUCAGUCCCGAAAUGAAAAGAAAAGGUGGCUUGGUGCAAAUCAUUCUCUUUAUCAGCAAAAGAAAUACCAAAGCCUGUGUCCUUCUGACAUAGUGAGCUGUCGAGGUAGUCCAGGGAAAAGAUGACAGUGAAUUGAGUUAUGGGAUGGCAAUGGAGACUGAAAAGAAUCUGUGUUUAUUAUAUGUAUAUAUAUCAUUAAGGUAGAACUAGUGGAUUUUCUCUGGCACUGCACAUGGGAAGCAAGUGAAGGAGAGUGAUCUAGAAUGACGCCACCAUUUUUGCCUGAGAAAUUCAGUACUCAGAGGUGUCUGUCAUUCAGAGAGAUGGAGGAAACAAGAAGAGGAGCAAGUUGGGGGAGAGGGUAAGCAGAAUCAAAAACUGUGUUGAUACAUUAACUUUAGGAUGCAUAGUAGACAUCAGAGUACAGAUGGAGUUUAGGAGCAAAGUUAUAUAGAGAGAUAAAUUUGAGAACCUGUAAUUCUUUUAUUUGUGGCAGAUAAUUAGACAAAUGAUUUCUAAAUAUUCCCAUGACUACUACAGAACAUCAAUAAAUUCCUUAAUAAUACUAGAAGGAGAAAUGUGGUUUAAAUUUUCCCAGGGGUUUUCUAACCUUUCAGCAAUUCUCUUUCUUUUCAGCAAAUGUUUGGUAAUUAUGCUGGAAUAUUGGGGUGGGGGUGCUUUCUUUUUAAGGCCGCUAUUUCUUUAUGUAUUUCUCUGGUCUUUAAGCUCUCAAGUAGAGUCAUCUGAUGUGAUUUCUCAGCUAAUAUGGGCAUUUUAUAACUUGCCCAGAGCCUCAUUGUUUUCAAUUCUGUUUUUUUUCCCCCAUUAGUUCUUUAACCAUAUUUGUGACUUUGUAUUUUGAGACAUUCUGGAACAUUCUCCGGUAGAAUAAAACUAUAAUACUAUGGGAAUAAAAAAUACAAUACUAAGAAAACAACCAUAGGGCUGGGCGCAGUGGCUCACACCUGUAAUCCCAACACUUUGGGAGGCCGAGGCAGGCGGAUCACAAGAUCAAGAGAUUGAGACCAUCCUGGCCAACAGAGUGAAACCCCAUCUGUACUAAAAAUACAAAAAUUAGCUGGGCAUGAUGGCGCCCACCUGUAGUCCCAGCUACUCGGGAGGCUGAGGCAAGAGAAUUGCUUGAACCUGCUCUUUUUUUGACAUGACCACACCCUGCAGCAGCUCGCCCACUUACUCCACUAUGUGACAUUGGACAAGUCAUUUAGCAUCUCCUGGCACAAUUUCCCCACUUGUACGGUAGAGGUAAUAAUCCUAAUGCCUACCAGAAGGUAAUAAAUAAGGAUUAAAUUAGAUAACACAGGUAAAGUGCUUAGAAUGGUGUUUAGAAUUUAGUAAGUCAUGGCUAUUGUUAUGAUUAUCUUCUGCCCAUAUAAGUGGUUGGAGAACACACAUGA